AGUGAACGCUGGCGGUAGGCCUAACACAUGCAAGUCGAACGGCAGCACAGUAAGAGCUUGCUCUUACGGGUGGCGAGUGGCGGACGGGUGAGGAAUACAUCGGAAUCUACUUUUUCGUGGGGGAUAACGUAGGGAAACUUACGCUAAUACCGCAUACGACCUACGGGUGAAAGCAGGGGAUCUUCGGACCUUGCGCGAUUGAAUGAGCCGAUGUCGGAUUAGCUAGUUGGCGGGGUAAAGGCCCACCAAGGCGACGACCCGUAGCUGGUCUGAGAGGAUGAUCAGCCACACUGGAACUGAGACACGGUCCAGACUCCUACGGGAGGCAGCAGUGGGGAAUAUUGGACAAUGGGCGCAAGCCUGAUCCAGCCAUACCGCGUGGGUGAAGAAGGCCUUCGGGUUGUAAAGCCCUUUUGUUGGGAAAGAAAAGCAGCAGGUUAAUACCCCGCUGUUCUGACGGUACCCAAAGAGUAAGCACCGGCUAACUUCGUG
This 492-nucleotide ribosomal RNA is filed under the name uncultured bacterium. RNAcentral's name for it is "partial 16S ribosomal RNA". It matches the Rfam family "Bacterial small subunit ribosomal RNA", at positions 29 to 507 of the family's 1533-position model. The record is from RNAcentral.